UCGUAGUAGAUGAAAGCCUUUGAGAUUGUUUCAUUGUCACUGUAUAAUAGCAUCAUAUACAACAAGGUUUGUAUCCUAUGUACCAUCGCCGUAGUUAAAAUAAUACAUGGACUUGAGAAUUUGAAAACUAAAUAUAUCUUCUCAAGUUGAUGCAAGUCUGUUUCUGUCCUUGUGAAACCAUCCAUGUGAAAUCUCAAUUACUUGUGAUGCAAUGAAAAGAGUUGCAUUUUUCUCCCAUGACAGCAUAACCUGCAAAUACAAAUUAUAAGAUUUCAAAACCAGUCAGACACUAAAUUAUAAAAAUGAAAUUUAUUUGCUUGGGAAAAUAUGGAAGACAAAGUAAAAGUACAAGGAUCCAGUUUGAAAUAUAGCUUAGAGUUAAACUACAGUCAUGCAUGUUGAACAAAUCAGAAUAACAUGUCACCUAUUUAUACAUUUUAAUAGCUCAGUCAUCUUAUAUUUGUAGCCCAAUUUUUUUUUUCCUGUAUAUACUAAUCAAACUGUUCUUACUAUAUUAAAAGACCAAAGUGUUAUGCAGUCUAAAAUCAAACAUCAGUUUGAAAGAAAGAGAAUUGUCAUGGCAAAAUUCUCCUUGUGGCAUUAAGAAUCAAAAGUGCACAUGGUCGAGAAAAAGUAUUGCAUGUUUGACGUAAGAAACAAAUCAAAUUACCUGUUAAUUAUUCAUCUCUUUCAUCACUGCACAUGAUAAAAUCAAUUUAAAUGCCAAAAAUCACUUUUAUCUAAUAUAUUGAAGCCAUAGACACGAAAGGUGAGAAGUUCAGAGAUAUAGUCAAGCCUCUCUUCGAUAAGUUUAUAAUGAGCACAAACAUGUAUCAUCGUCAUAAUCAAAAUCAAGAAGUUUGAUCUCAAAAUGCUAAACUAUCUACAAUUUACAUUAAGGAUAACAAUAUCAACUGUGAAAAAAAAACUAUUGGAAAAGAAUUGUCAAUUCAACCAAGAGUUUAGAUCAGAUCAGAAACAUAAUUUACCUCUAAUUAACUAUUAAAUUGAAGCGCUGCCAUGGCAUGAAUC
Molecule: long non-coding RNA, 1032 nt
Filed under: Nicotiana tabacum (common tobacco)
Lineage: Eukaryota; Viridiplantae; Streptophyta; Magnoliopsida; Solanales; Solanaceae
Description: long non-coding RNA (NTAB_LNC007949)
Source: RNAcentral